This 405-nucleotide ribosomal RNA is filed under the name uncultured bacterium. RNAcentral describes it as "bacterial SSU rRNA". It matches the Rfam family "Bacterial small subunit ribosomal RNA", at positions 29 to 417 of the family's 1533-position model. The record is from RNAcentral.
AGCGAACGCUGGCGGCGUACUUAACACAUGCAAGUCGAACGGGGAUCGUCGGGUUAGCAAUAAUUCGGCGGUCCUAGUGGCGUACGGGUGAGUAACACGUGGGCAACUUGCCCUUGAGACCGGGAUACCCUCUCGAAAGGGAGGCUAAUACUGGAUACGUUCUUCGGAUCGCAAGAUCUGGAGAGGAAAGGUGGCGCAAGCUACCGCUCUUGGAGAGGCUCGCGGCCUAUCAGCAGUUGGUGAGGUAAUGGCUCACCAAGGCUAUGACGGGUAGCUGGUCUGAGAGGACGACCAGCCACACGGGAACUGAGACACGGUCCCGACUCCUACGGGAGGCAGCAGUGGGGAAUUUUCCGCAAUGGGCGAAAGCCUGACGGAGUGACGCCGCGUGGGGGACGAAGGCCU